GAUGAAGGUUUUCGGAUCGUAAAACUCUGUUGUUAGGGAAUAAACAAGUACCGUUCAAAUAGGGCGGUACCUUGACGGUACCUAACCAAAAAGCCACGGCUAACUACGUGCCACCACCCGCGGUAAUACUUAGGUGGCAAGCGUUGUCCGGAAUUAUUGGGCGUAAAGCGCGCGCAGGCGGUUUCUUAAUUCUGAUGUGAAAGCCCCCGGCUCAACCGGGGAGGGUCAUUGGAAACUGGGGAACUUGAGUGCAGAAAAGGAAAGUGGAAUUCCACGUGUAGCGGUGAAAUGCUUAGAGAUGUGAAGGAACACCAGUGCCAAAGGCAACUCUCUGGUCUGUAACUGACGCUAAGGCGCG
This 358-nucleotide ribosomal RNA is filed under the name uncultured Bacillus sp. RNAcentral's name for it is "bacterial SSU rRNA". It matches the Rfam family "Bacterial small subunit ribosomal RNA", at positions 407 to 755 of the family's 1533-position model. Lineage: Bacteria; Bacillati; Bacillota; Bacilli; Caryophanales; Bacillaceae. The record is from RNAcentral.